GACGAACGCUGGCGGCGUGCUUAACACAUGCAAGUCGAACGGUGAAGGGACCGGUUUUUGCUGGUUCUGGAUGAGUGGCGAACGGGUGAGUAACACGUGAGUAACCUGCCCCCUUCUUCUGGAUAACCGCAUGAAAGUGUGGCUAAUACGGGAUAUUCUGCGCCUGCUGCAUGGUGGGUGUGGGAAAGAUAUUGUUUCGGUGGGGGAUGGGCUCGCGGCCUAUCAGCUUGUUGGUGGGGUGAUGGCCUACCAAGGCGGUGACGGGUAGCCGGCCUGUGAGGGUGGACGGUCACACUGGGACUGAGCCACGGCCCAGACUCCUACGGGAGGCAGCAGUGGGGAAUAUAGCACAAUGGGCGCAAGCCUGAUGCAGCGACGCCGCGUGAGGAAUGGAAGCCUUCGGGUUGUAAACCUCUUUCGCCAGUGAAGCAGGCCUGUCCCUUUUGUGGGUGGGUUGACGGUAGCUGGAUAAGAAGCGCCGGCUAACUACGUG
This 493-nucleotide ribosomal RNA is filed under the name uncultured bacterium. RNAcentral describes it as "partial 16S ribosomal RNA". It matches the Rfam family "Bacterial small subunit ribosomal RNA", at positions 28 to 507 of the family's 1533-position model. The record is from RNAcentral.